This 230-nucleotide ribosomal RNA is filed under the name uncultured bacterium. RNAcentral's name for it is "partial 16S ribosomal RNA". It matches the Rfam family "Bacterial small subunit ribosomal RNA", at positions 564 to 791 of the family's 1533-position model. The record is from RNAcentral.
AGCGUGCGCAGGCGGUUUUGUAAGACUGUCGUGAAAUACCCCGGGCCUCAACCUGGGAAUGGCGAUGGUGACUGCAAGGCUAGAGUUUGGCAGAGGGGGGUAGAAUUCCACGUGUAGCAGUGAAAUGCGUAGAUAUGUGGAGGAACACCGAUGGCGAAGGCAGCCCCCUGGGUCAAAACUGACGCUCAUGCACGAAAGCGUGGGGAGCAAACAGGAUUAGAUACCCCAGU